This 428-nucleotide ribosomal RNA is filed under the name Verrucomicrobium spinosum DSM 4136 = JCM 18804. RNAcentral describes it as "bacterial SSU rRNA". It matches the Rfam family "Bacterial small subunit ribosomal RNA", at positions 355 to 774 of the family's 1533-position model. Lineage: Bacteria; Pseudomonadati; Verrucomicrobiota; Verrucomicrobiia; Verrucomicrobiales; Verrucomicrobiaceae. The record is from RNAcentral.
UGGGGAAUCUUGCGCAAUGGGCGAAAGCCUGACGCAGCGACGCCGCGUGGGCGAAGAAGGCCUUCGGGUUGUAAAUCCCUGUUGGGGAGAACGAACCGUACGGGGGCGAAUACCCUCCGUGCCUGACGGUACUCCUUUAGCAAGCAUCGGCUAACUCUGUGCCAGCAGCCGCGGUAAUACAGAGGUCUCAAGCGUUGUUCGGAAUCACUGGGCGUAAAGGGUGCGUAGGUGGCGUGGAAAGUCGGAUGUGAAAUCCGGGGGCUCAACCCCCGAAUAGCAUCCGAUACUACCGCGCUAGAGAACUGAAGGGGGGUCUGGAAUUCUCGGUGUAGCAGUGAAAUGCGUAGAUAUCGAGAGGAACACUAGUGGCGAAGGCGAGACCCUGGGCAGUAUCUGACACUGCGGCACGAAGGCUAGGGUAGCGAACG